RNAcentral lists this ribosomal RNA (312 nucleotides) under Triticum aestivum (bread wheat). Its description in RNAcentral is "partial small subunit ribosomal RNA". Lineage: Eukaryota; Viridiplantae; Streptophyta; Magnoliopsida; Poales; Poaceae. The record is from RNAcentral.
AUGCGUAGCUCAUACCUUUGGAAUGGCAUAUGCCAGCUAAGGCUCGUCACUAACAUGAGGUCUCAAAACGAUCGAUAGUUUGUGGAAUACCUAUUGAGAGUAGGAAAUGGCACCGAGGAAACUAACGAGGAAGGAAACAUCCGGCUCCCAGAAGAUAUAUAUGUUCCUUCGACAGGCGAGGCCGCAGACAUAGAGAAGUUGAUCGACCACGUGUUUCCUUCCCUACACCACAAUAUGGUCAAUCCGAGUUACAUGACGUCUCGAGCAAUCCUAUCCACCAAGAAUGACAACGUCGAUGUAACAUGUGUAUGA